Molecule: long non-coding RNA, 248 nt
Filed under: Eucalyptus grandis
Lineage: Eukaryota; Viridiplantae; Streptophyta; Magnoliopsida; Myrtales; Myrtaceae
Description: long non-coding RNA (EGRA_LNC000106)
Source: RNAcentral
UAUAUAAAAUAGUUGGUUCUUAGCUCAUUCUCUCUCUCUCUCUCUCUCUCUCUCUCUCUCUCUCUCUCUCACAUCUUCAGUAACUCCUUGAUAUUGUCGACACUCAACAAUGCUACUAUGGAUGUUAUUUGUUGUGGUACUCUCUUCUAAUAACGACCAACAUCGAUGAGCAAAAUCGUCGUCAAAUAUCCAAGUAGUUGUGAAUACCAGAGUCAAGCACACCUUCAUUGAACAACCAAAGAUAAGCG